GAGGAAAUGAAGAGUGAGAUGAAAGACAGACACAAAUGAGAGCGCGAGAGAUGAGGCGAGAUAAGAAUGUUAGCUCAGUGGUUACGUUUCUAAUGUAGAGACUGGAAGAUGAGUGAGCCACUUCUGGAUCCUUGAGCAAGAAUCUUAACCCUUAACUGCUCAUGGGGGUCAGUGAGACUGAGACUGAGAAGAGUAAAUAAAUAAAUAAAUAAAUAAAUAAAAUAAUAAAAAUGAGGAGGCAGGGCCAGCUGUCUGAAACGGAUCAAUGCUGAGAUAUAAAGAAACAGGAAGCAGUAUUAUAAUGUUUAACCAUUAGUCGAUCUUGUUCUCCCUUUAAAACCAUCAUCCCCAACAUCCACCCACCCACACAGAAGCGCGCGCGCACACACACACACACACACACACACCACUGAGCAGUUCGAAUGACAAAUAUCCUUCACACAAACAGGUAAUGUACAUACAUGUGCAUGUAGAUUAUAGGCAAGACAGCUACUGAGAUAAGUUUAAAGACUACUCUUAUUCCUCGAAUGUAAACAAGACUGUGUUCAGUGUUGAUCAAUUUUGGUGAAGUUACAGCUGUAGAAAAAGAAUGCUUCCUGCUCUUGCAUGCACAAACGUGUGUGUGUGUGUGUGUGUGUGUGUGUGUGUGUGUGUGAAUAUUUGCAGCUUUGCUGCCCUUCUAAUUCACUCUCUCUCUCACACACACACACACACACACACACACACAGAGAGAGAGAGAGAGAGAGAGAGAGAGAGAGAGAGAGAGCAGACACUAGAUUCACAUGCAUCAAUAAUAAACUCCAAAGCCUUACCUCAUUCUCUGUAGCCUUCUGUUUGUCACUCUCCCUCUCUUUCUUCCUCUCCUCCUCCCUCCCUCACCCUCUGCACACAGAGAACACUGUGUUUGAGUCACACAGAUUCCACGGACCAAAUUUGAUUUCUCUCCCUGUGACACAUUCAACACAGUCGGCUCGCUCUCCUCCUGUUCCUCCCUCCCUCUCUCGCUCUUUCUCACUGAGGGUCACGGGGAAACCUGGAGCCUAUCCCAGGGAGCAUCGGGCACGAGGCAGGGUACACCCUGGACAGGGUGCCAAUCCAUCGCAGGGCACAAGGGAAGUAACAUUUUAUUUUUUGUAGUAGCUUAACACAGGAGUUUUAAAAAAUAAACAUCAUCAUUAAUAUUAUAAAUAUGUAUACAUUCUACAUUUCCCAGUUUUCAUUAUUCCCGUUUAAAAAAAAAUUGUUACAGAAGUACAUCUCAUGUAUACAGUAUAUGAAUAAUAACAGCAACAACACCACCACCACCACCACCACCACCAACAACA
Molecule: long non-coding RNA, 1325 nt
Organism: Ictalurus punctatus (channel catfish)
Lineage: Eukaryota; Metazoa; Chordata; Actinopteri; Siluriformes; Ictaluridae
Source: Ensembl